Molecule: ribosomal RNA, 35 nt
Filed under: Thozetella fabacearum
Lineage: Eukaryota; Fungi; Ascomycota; Sordariomycetes; Chaetosphaeriales; Chaetosphaeriaceae
Description: partial 18S ribosomal RNA
Source: RNAcentral
CGUUCGGUCUCCGUUGGUGACAGCGGAGGGACAUU